CCUACGGGAGGCAGCAGUAGGGAAUCUUCCACAAUGGGCGAAAGCCUGAUGGAGCAACGCCGCGUGGAUGAAGAAGGUCUUCGGAUCGUAAAACCCUGUUGUUAGAGAAGAAAAUGCGUGAGAGUAACUGUUCACGUUUCGACGUUAUCUAACCAGAACGCCACGGCUAACUACGUGCCAGCAGCCGCGGUAAUACGGGGGAUGCGAGCGUUGUCGGGUUUUAUUGGUAUUAAAGGUGGCGUGGGCGGAAGGUUAAGUCAGCGGUAAAGUGUCGGUGCGCACCACCGACCUGCCGUUGAAACUGAUGUUCUUGAGUGAGCGAGAGGUAUGCGGAAUGCGUGGUGUAGCGGUGAAAUGCAUAGCUAUCACGAAGAACUCCGAUUGCGAAGGCAGCCUACCGGCGCUCAACUGACGCUGAGGCACGAAAGCGUGGGGAUCGAACAGGAUUAGAUACCCGGGUAGUC
This 464-nucleotide ribosomal RNA is filed under the name uncultured bacterium. RNAcentral's name for it is "partial 16S ribosomal RNA". It matches the Rfam family "Bacterial small subunit ribosomal RNA", at positions 338 to 795 of the family's 1533-position model. The record is from RNAcentral.